AUGUCAUUUUCUUGUGCUUAUGUUGCUUCCAUAUUGUCGCAAGUAAGAUAUGUUGCUGAUCCAGGCUCCAGUAGACCCAUUAUUCCUUCAAUGAUGUUCCUCUUCGAUUUGUUUGUGCAGCAUCACCAACUCAACUCCAUGCAUAUGCAGAUGCAGGGGGGAGGAGAGGACCACUACUUUGAUUCUCUGAUUUUUUUUGUGAGAAUUAAGAUGGGUGGCUUCUCGUGUAGAACUCAGUUUACAUAUAUUUUUUAUUUUAUAACUAGACCUAUGCUUUUAUCAGGUUUUCUUAUGAUGUGUUCAUAUUCUGUAGGAAGAGCAUCUUCAUAUCAGGAAGAAAAAUCGUGGGUGGAAGCUACUGACCAUGAGGAUUUACAUCAGUGA
RNAcentral lists this ribosomal RNA (384 nucleotides) under Triticum aestivum (bread wheat). RNAcentral describes it as "partial small subunit ribosomal RNA". Lineage: Eukaryota; Viridiplantae; Streptophyta; Magnoliopsida; Poales; Poaceae. The record is from RNAcentral.